RNAcentral lists this ribosomal RNA (795 nucleotides) under Triticum aestivum (bread wheat). Its description in RNAcentral is "partial small subunit ribosomal RNA". Lineage: Eukaryota; Viridiplantae; Streptophyta; Magnoliopsida; Poales; Poaceae. The record is from RNAcentral.
AUGCACUGCCCACUGUGCCCUGGGAGAGGUAUGCCGAUCUCCCACCAUUCCCGUGCAUGGAACACAAUCUCCAAUGGUUCGGUGAAAUGCUCUCCAAAGAAGGCAGCGACGGUGGCCUGUCCUAACUGUAUAUGUUGGGCACCAAGGGCUCGGGAGAAGUUCCUGGUGCGUGUAUAUGUGUUGCAAGGUGGUGUUUGGUGCCUGCAUACCUCCACCACAUGCCAGCCCUCUCUUAUCCAUUGGGAACCAAAAGUUGUGCUUGUUGACAACAAAAUCUAUAUCCCGACCAUCAACAGUGACAACAUUUUUGUCUUGGAUUUGACGACCUCAUGUUUCUCCACAAUCCAACUCCCACAAGGAGCAAGCUAUAAUUAUUUCCGGACCAUGUUGUCACCAGCCUAUGACGCUUCCGGUGUUUAUCUCAUCCAUGUGGACCGAUUUGAUCUUCGCAUCUGGCUCUUCAAGGGGAACAAUUGGUUGCUGGUCAAUACCAUUUGUUUGAGGAUGUUCGAUCACAGGCUUGAGGACGAGCAUAAUGCAAAUGUCCAGAUAAGCCAGGUCGGAAAUAAUGCUGAGUUUGUUUUCUUGAGGAUGGGUGGAUGCACAUUCUAUCUGGACGUCACGAGUAAGACACUGCGUAAAUUGCAUGAGAAGACAGACAAUGAUCGACAUUUUAGUGAUGCCAAGCCUUUUAUGAUGAUUUGGCUGCCCAUAUUCCCUGUGCCAAGGACGACCCUUCAAGGUUUGCUUUUUGGACUUCAAAUCAUCUCUAUAUUGCUCUUGUUGCGGCCAUGA